UAGGGAAUCUUCGGCAAUGGACGAAAGUCUGACUGAGCAACGCCGCGUGAGUGAAGAAGGUUUUCGGAUCGUAAAACUCUGUUGGUAGAGAAGAACGUUGGUGAGAGUGGAAAGCUCAUCAAGUGACGGUAACUACCCAGAAAGGGACGGCUAACUACGUGCCAC
Molecule: ribosomal RNA, 165 nt
Filed under: uncultured bacterium
Lineage: Bacteria
Description: partial 16S rRNA
Rfam family: Bacterial small subunit ribosomal RNA
Source: RNAcentral